RNAcentral lists this ribosomal RNA (497 nucleotides) under uncultured bacterium. RNAcentral's name for it is "partial 16S ribosomal RNA". It matches the Rfam family "Bacterial small subunit ribosomal RNA", at positions 28 to 507 of the family's 1533-position model. The record is from RNAcentral.
GAUGAACGCUGGCGGCGUGCCUAAUACAUGCAAGUCGAGCGAACGGACGAGAAGCUUGCUCCUCUGAUGUUAGCGGCGGACGGGUGAGUAACACGUGGAUAACCUACCUAUAAGACUGGGAUAACUUCGGGAAACCGGAGCUAAUACCGGAUAAUAUUUUGAACCGCAUGGUUCAAAAGUGAAAGACGGUCUUGCUGUCACUUAUAGAUGGAUCCGCGCUGCAUUAGCUAGUUGGUAAGGUAACGGCUUACCAAGGCAACGAUGCAUAGCCGACCUGAGAGGGUGAUCGGCCACACUGGAACUGAGACACGGUCCAGACUCCUACGGGAGGCAGCAGUAGGGAAUCUUCCGCAAUGGGCGAAAGCUUGACGGAGCAACGCCGCGUGAGUGAUGAAGGUCUUCGGAUCGUAAAACUCUGUUAUUAGGGAAGAACAAAUGUGUAAGUAACUGUGCACAUCUUGACGGUACCUAAUCAGAAAGCCACGGCUAACUACGUG